Molecule: ribosomal RNA, 600 nt
Filed under: uncultured Mortierella
Lineage: Eukaryota; Fungi; Mortierellomycota; Mortierellomycetes; Mortierellales; Mortierellaceae
Description: eukaryotic LSU rRNA
Rfam family: 5.8S ribosomal RNA (bases 141-294)
Source: RNAcentral
GUGUUUUAUGGCACUUUUUAAAUCCAUAUCCACCUUGUGUGCAAUGUCAGUCGGUCUUCUUUAUGGAGAUCGGCCAAACAUCAACCUAAUUUUUUAACUCUUUGUCUGAAAAAUAUUAUGAAUAAAAUAAUUCAAAAUACAACUUUCAACAACGGAUCUCUUGGCUCUCGCAUCGAUGAAGAACGCAGCGAAAUGCGAUACGUAAUGUGAAUUGCAGAAUUCAGUGAAUCAUCGAAUCUUUGAACGCAUAUUGCGCUCUUUGGUAUUCCGAAGAGCAUGCUUGUUUGAGUAUCAGUAAACACCUCAAAACUUUUUUUUAUUUUUGAAAAACAGUUUUGGACUUGAGCAAUCCCAACACCAAUCUUUUUUAGAUCGGUGGCGGGUUGCUUGAAAUGCAGGUGCAGCUGGACAUUCUCCUGAGCUAAAAGCAUAUUUAUUUAGUCCCGUCAAACGGAUUAUUACUUUUGCUGCAGCUAAUAUAAAGGGAGUUUGACCGUUUUGGCUGACUGAUGCAGGAUUUCACAAGGGUCGGCAACGAUUCUUGUAAAACUCGAUCUCAAAUCAAGUAAGACUACCCGCUGAACUUAAGCAUAUCAAUAA